AUUGAACGCUGGCGGCAGGCCUAACACAUGCAAGUCGAACGGUAACAGGGAUCAGCUUGCUGAUUCGCUGACGAGUGGCGGACGGGUGAGUAAUGUCUGGGAAACUGCCUGAUGGAGGGGGAUAACUACUGGAAACGGUAGCUAAUACCGCAUAACGUCGCAAGACCAAAGAGGGGGACCUUCGGGCCUCUUGCCAUCGGAUGUGCCCAGAUGGGAUUAGCUAGUAGGUGGGGUAACGGCUCACCUAGGCGACGAUCCCUAGCUGGUCUGAGAGGAUGACCCGCAACCGGGGAACUGAGACAGGGCCAAGACUCCCAGGGGGGGCAGCAGGGGGGAAUAUUGCAAAAGGGGGGAAAGCCUGAUGAACCCAGGCCGGGUUUAUGAAGAAGGCCUUCGGGUGGGAAAGUAAUUUAAGGGGGGGGGAAGGGAGUAAAGUUAAAACCUUUGCUCAUUGACUUUACCGGCAAAAGAAGCCCCGGCUAACCCCGG
RNAcentral lists this ribosomal RNA (489 nucleotides) under uncultured bacterium. RNAcentral's name for it is "partial 16S ribosomal RNA". It matches the Rfam family "Bacterial small subunit ribosomal RNA", at positions 29 to 506 of the family's 1533-position model. The record is from RNAcentral.